CUAUAAGACUGGGAUAACUUCGGGAAACCGGAGCUAAUACCGGAUAAUAUUUUGAACCGCAUGGUUCAAAAGUGAAAGACGGUCUUGCUGUCACUUAUAGAUGGAUCCGCGCUGCAUUAGCUAGUUGGUAAGGUAACGGCUUACCAAGGCAACGAUGCAUAGCCGACCUGAGAGGGUGAUCGGCCACACUGGAACUGAGACACGGUCCAGACUCCUACGGGAGGCAGCAGUAGGGAAUCUUCCGCAAUGGGCGAAAGCCUGACGGAGCAACGCCGCGUGAGUGAUGAAGGUCUUCGGAUCGUAAAACUCUGUUAUUAGGGAAGAACAUAUGUGUAAGUAACUGUGCACAUCUUGACGGUACCUAAUCAGAAAGCCACGGCUAACUACGUGCCAGCAGCCGCGGUAAUACGUAGGUGGCAAGCGUUAUCCGGAAUUAUUGGGCGUAAAGCGCGCGUAGGCGGUUUUUUAAGUCUGAUGUGAAAGCCCACGGCUCAACCGUGGAGGGUCAUUGGAAACUGGAAAACUUGAGUGCAGAAGAGGAAAGUGGAAUUCCAUGUGUAGCGGUGAAAUGCGCAGAGAUAUGGAGGAACACCAGUGGCGAAGGCGACUUUCUGGUCUGUAACUGACGCUGAUGUGCGAAAGCGUGGGGAUCAAACAGGAUUAGAUACCCUGGUAGUCCACGCCGUAAACGAUGAGUGCUAAGUGUUAGGGGGUUUCCGCCCCUUAGUGCUGCAGCUAACGCAUUAAGCACUCCGCCUGGGGAGUACGACCGCAAGGUUGAAACUCAAAGGAAUUGACGGGGACCCGCACAAGCGGUGGAGCAUGUGGUUUAAUUCGAAGCAACGCGAAGAACCUUACCAAAUCUUGACAUCCUUUGACAACUCUAGAGAUAGAGCCUUCCCCUUCGGGGGACAAAGUGACAGGUGGUGCAUGGUUGUCGUCA
RNAcentral lists this ribosomal RNA (943 nucleotides) under Staphylococcus aureus. RNAcentral's name for it is "bacterial SSU rRNA". It matches the Rfam family "Bacterial small subunit ribosomal RNA", at positions 130 to 1057 of the family's 1533-position model. Lineage: Bacteria; Bacillati; Bacillota; Bacilli; Caryophanales; Staphylococcaceae. The record is from RNAcentral.